UUACAGCUAGACAUUUUUACUUCAUGACAAGCCGUUGGUGUCGACCCUUUCUGCUAAAACUAAUGCAUCAUUACAUCUCUCACCAAAAUUGCAUUAUUUGAAUUGGCUACUACUGUGUAUUGUAAGUGGUAACGAAUAUGACUUCUGUCAAAAUUCUGUGAAGAUCUACAAUGAAUGUUGUUUACCCAGCAGGUGGAUAUGACGUCACGGAUUUGGAACAUCAGAAAAUAACAUCCAAAUUCGCGAUAUUUUUUCUUUCCAUGCGAAUUAAAAUGUAAUAACAUUAGAAAGAGCUCGCUCUCUUAUUCGAGACAGAACGUGGCGUGAAGUCUAGAUUAUUUUACCGGUAACAGCGCUCUCGGUGAAUGCAGCAGAGAUGUAUCCUCGCAGUUAAAGUUAGUCCCCCAAGCGGAGUAAUGUUGGUAGUAUUUACAGUGUGAAUAUUGCAUGCUUACUUGGUAUACAAGAUCGCGUGUACAGUUCAUUAUCUCUAGCACAGAAUUGUCUACUGCGUGCACCUACCAUUGUGGAUUGGUGUCAUCUGUGAACUCCUGAUGGUCCCGCCUCUGAAGACCCUGAGCUGAAUUUUCAUUGGAAGAAUGGAACGCCAGUCUUUCCUACACAAGUGAACACGUGGGUGCUCUGAUUGGCUGAAUACUUUCUGCACUGUUGUCUGGCUGGCUGCCAGCGCCUGCCUUGCCCCUGAUCAGAAGUGAACGUGACAUUUGUGCGGAGCCUGGAGACUCCAGUGGUGACCCCCUGUGGAGACCGAGAUCAAAUGGAGUCGGGGGGUGAUUGUGAGGUGCCGUGAACUCCCCCUUAAUAAAGCCCAGCUGUGGAAUGAUCAAAUAGUGGAUCUAAUUAAAGCGCUGGCUUUCACCAAUGUAGAAUUCUCUCUGGAAUGAUAACAACCUGUGAUAUGUGCAGUGGAAUGAGCUGGGCAGGUCUUGGGGAAUGAGGGGAUUGUGUGGCAAGCCAUGUUGUUCACAGAUAUUCAUUUCAUACACAGAUCAAAAUCCCAACAUUUUACCAUGCCUGCUUUUAUGUACUAUAUUCUAUAUCUGAAAGGGGUAGGGGGUUGAAAAACAAGGACAAAUAAAAGCCAGCUAAAGACCUAGUCAUGAUUCCUGCAUUUUCACGGACCCUGUAACCAAAAUACAGGUAUCAGGUCAGUGUGACUGGUUCACUGCUUUUCUGCAGGUAAACCCAUUAACACUUCUAUUGUUAAACACCUCCCUAAAUUGAAAUGUAAACAGCCUCCAUGGUUUAACAACACCCCUCACCCCUCCCAGGUUGCCAGUUACCCACUGAUACAGUUGACGUCGGAAGUUUACAUACACUUAGGUUGUUUUUCAACCACUCCACAACUUUCUUGUUAACAAACUAUAGUUAUGGCAAGUCGGUUAGGACAUCUACUUUGUGCAUGAUACAAGUAAUUUUUCUGACAACUGUUUACAGAUAGAUUGUUUCACUUAUAAUUCACUGUAUCACAAUUCCAGUGGGUCAGAAGUUUACAUACACUAAGUUGACUGUGCCUUUAAACAGCUUGCAAAAUUCCAGAAAAUGAUGUCAUGGCUUUAGAAGCUUCUGAUAGGCUAAUUGACAUCAUUUGAGUCAAUUGGAGGUGUACCUGUGGAUGUAUUUAAAAGCCUACCUUCAAACUCAGUGCCUCUUUGCUUGACAUCAUGGGAAAAUCAAAUGAAAUCAGCCAAGACCUCAGAAAAAUAAUUGUAGACCUCCACAAGUCUGGUUCAGCCUUGGGAGCAAUUUCCAAACGCCUGAAGGUACCACGUUCAUCUGUACAAACAAUAGUACGCAAGUAUAAACACCAUGGGACCAUGCAGCCGUCAUACCGCUCAGGAUGGAGACACGUUCUGUCUCCUAGAGAUGAACGUACUUAGGUGAGAAAAGUGCAAGUCAAUUCCAGAACAACAGCAAAGGACCUUGUGAAGAUGCUGAAGGAAACAGGUGCAAAAGUAUCUAUAUCCACAGUAGAAUGAGUCCUAUAUCGAAAUAACCUGAAAGGCCGCUCAGCAAGGAAGAAGUCACUGCUCCAAAAUCGCUAUAAAAAAGCCAGACUCCGGUCUGCAACUGCACAUGGGGACAAAGAUUGUACUUUUUGGAGAAAUGUCCUCUGGUCUGUUGAAACAAAAAUAGAACUGUUUGGCCAUAAUGACCAUUGUUAUGUUUGGAGGAAAAAAGGAGGAGGCUUGUAAGCCGAAGAACACCAUCCCAACCGUGAAGCACGGUGGUGGUUUCAUCAUGUUGUGGGGGUACUUUGCUGCAGGAGUGACUGGUGCAUUUCACAAAAUAGAUGUCCAAAGUUGUGGCAAAAUGGCUUAAGGACAACAAAGUCAAGCUGUUGUAGUGGCCAUCACAGAACCUGACCUCAAUCCUAUAGAACAUUUGUGGGCAGAACUGAAAAGCAUGUGCGAGCAAGGAGGCUUACAAACCUGACUCAGUUCCACCAGCUCUGUCAGGAGGAAAGGGACAAAAUUCACCCAACUUAUUGUGGGAAGCUUGUGGAAGGCUACACAAAACGUUUGACCCAAGUUAAACUAUUUAAAGGCAAUGCUACCAAAUACUGAUUGAGUGUAUGUAAACUUCCGACCCACUGGGAAUGUGAUGAAAGAAAAUAAAAGCUGAAAUACAUCAUUCUCUCUACUAUUAUUCUGACAUUUCACAUUCUUCAAAUAAAGUGGUGAUCCUAACUGACGUACUCUGAUUAAAUGUCAGGAAUUGUGAAGAACUGAGUUCAAAUGUAUUUGGCUGUAUGUAUAAAAGUGGUAUACCUGCAAGAAAGUUGUGUGUAAGGGGAUGUUUGAAAGGGGUUCAUACAAACAUUGCCGUAUAUAUUUUUUUACAGGUAAUAUGCCACAUCUUCUCUCUGAAAUGGGUAGUAGAUGCCAGGAGGAAGCUAAUGAAGGCCAGACAGAUCCUCUGGAUGCAGGCCUUAAAUGAUCCCUCAGAAUACAUUAGAGACUUGCAAUGUUGUAGAAUAUUUACAACGUUGCAGAUUAUUUAGGUAUAUGUUUUGGUUUGCUGAUGAUAUGUUGUGAUACUGAAGGUAUCUUGAGGUUUGAUGCGGCUGGUUGAGAGGGCAAACAUGGUGAUCCUGCAUAUUAUCAGGUGUUCAAUCACUUGUAUUCUGUUGUGUGUUGUAUUAAGCCCCGAUCUGUCGUUUCUAGUUUUGUGUGUUUGCAAAACAGGUUGAUAUUGAAUGGAACAAAUCAAUGUUUUGUCAUCUGAUAAUGUAAAUGAGCCACCUAAAUAUUCCCCUUCUGUGCUAUUUACAUAACCAGUUUGGUCUUUAAUACUUGUGGAAAUUCAAACGUUUGUCUAAUUUGCCAAUUAUUAUUUGUUAUUAUAAAAAGUGUUUUAGGAUGAGAGGUAGGCUAAAUGUCAUUUUGGUAUCACAAACACUAAUUACAUAUAUAGAAGAUAACACAAAAAUAAAAGAACGCUCUUUGACAGUUUUGUCUCAGACAAGUGUUUGAUGAAUAUAACACAGACAAUCCUUUGCAUGUAAAUUUAUCCAGAACUUGCAAUUACUAGGCACUUUUGAAUAUUGAUUAGAGAAGACAAGGACACAGAAGUGAAGCACUUAUGAAUGUAUGAAAGAGCUUGUGAAUCAGUGCCAUUAGUAACUACUUCUCAGCCUCUUUAGUGCUGCUCUUCCCACUAAAUGCAGGCUGAUGUGACUGGUGAUGAGAAACAAUGUCAUUUCAUUACUGCUGAUAUUGCAUGAUGUGUACUUCAUAGAUGUAUGGUACAAUAAUAAAUUAGCAAUGGUCAUCACUGAUGUAUUUAAGCUUACAA
Molecule: long non-coding RNA, 3819 nt
Organism: Oncorhynchus nerka (sockeye salmon)
Lineage: Eukaryota; Metazoa; Chordata; Actinopteri; Salmoniformes; Salmonidae
Exons: 5
Source: RefSeq, a predicted model, not a curated record